This 413-nucleotide unclassified non-coding RNA is filed under the name Hevea brasiliensis (rubber tree). Lineage: Eukaryota; Viridiplantae; Streptophyta; Magnoliopsida; Malpighiales; Euphorbiaceae. The record is from RNAcentral.
UUACCACCAAGAAUAUCACUGAUAUGAUAUGUGGCAUUUUCGUGAUAUACGGAAGUGUACAACUAGACGUAAAUAAGCCAAAUCUCGAGGAUUACCCGAAUGUUCCACACCUUACCCCAUAAAUAGGCUCGUAAUGCCUACCAUGAUAGGCAAUCCAGUUUCUCAUUUUUCUAUUAAUCAUUAUUCAUUGCUCUUAAGCACUUGCUGACUUGAGCAUCUGACUAGACAUAUGUAGGCCACAGACCUCACACCUCUGCUUGCUUUGCUUGCAGGCCAUCCGAAGUCCAUUCAACAACCCGAGAACCACAGGCAGCAUCAAUAAGUAAGCUCCCAUUUAUACUUUAUUGAAUCCUAUAACUGUUCUCUACAAUUACAACUGACUGGAAAGUAAUUACAAUUGACUAAUACUAUAG